This 222-nucleotide long non-coding RNA is filed under the name Bos taurus (domestic cattle). RNAcentral describes it as "long non-coding RNA NONBTAT000553". Lineage: Eukaryota; Metazoa; Chordata; Mammalia; Artiodactyla; Bovidae. The record is from RNAcentral.
CCUUUUCUAACAUUCUCUAUGAUGAUAUGCACUGAGCUAUUCCACAUGCUUUCCAAUUAGGUGUCAAAUCGGAUGUCUGGAAACAAUCUGAAUUAGAGACAUGUUAAGAUGUAACAUAAUGAGAUAUCCUUAAGGGAUGAGAGAGAGAAAAAGUAGAAGAAAAAUAAAUCUAAUAAAGUGUAUAUUUUAAAUUACCUGAAUAAUUUGAUACCUAUGAUUUGG